Long non-coding RNA from Pipistrellus kuhlii (Kuhl's pipistrelle), 414 nucleotides. RefSeq lists it as uncharacterized. NCBI's taxonomy places the organism in Eukaryota, Metazoa, Chordata, Mammalia, Chiroptera, Vespertilionidae. The transcript has 2 exons. The record is from RefSeq and is a predicted model, not a curated record.
UGCAAAAUCAGAUAAUCAUUUGAAUGGGACUUGCCCAAAGUCUAUUUAGUUGCAGAAUUGAAGUAACGUAAUAGUCUUGUUAAAGAUAUGAUACGUUAUAAUAUGGGGGAUAAUCCUUUUACUUCCUGAUAUUGGGAGUCCUCCUAGCAUAUUAUAUUUUCAUACCACUUCCAGAUGUUAAGGAGUAAUGAAAAAUAAGGCUGUUUAAUGCUGUUAUAAAAAUAGCAUCAUAUUUGAAACCAAGACUGCUGGAGCGUCCCUUAAAGAAAAGACCUCAAAGCAGCCCUUGAAUGAUGAGGACAUAAUCCCUACAGGGCCAAGAGGGGGAGGGGAGGUUUCAAUAACAAGUAAAACAGAGUCAGCCUAUUUCAGGGGAAAAAACCAUCAUCACAGGAGAGUGAGGCAAGCAAGAAA